This 497-nucleotide ribosomal RNA is filed under the name uncultured bacterium. Its description in RNAcentral is "partial 16S ribosomal RNA". It matches the Rfam family "Bacterial small subunit ribosomal RNA", at positions 28 to 507 of the family's 1533-position model. The record is from RNAcentral.
GAUGAACGCUGGCGGCGUGCCUAAUACAUGCAAGUCGAGCGAACAGACGAUGAGCUUGCUCCGUUGACGUUAGCGGCGGACGGGUGAGUAACAUGAGGAUAACCUACCUAUAAGACUGGGAAAACUUCGGGACACGGGAGCUAAUACCGGAGAAUAUAUUGCACCGUAUGGUGCAAUAGAGAAAGACGGCUGUGCUGUAUCGUAUAGAUGGUUCCGAGCCGCAUUAGCUAGUUGGUAAGGUAAAGGCUUAUCAAGGCUACGAUGCGUAAACGAGCUGAGAGAGUGAUCGCCGACACGAGAACUGAGACACGGUCCAGGCUCCUACGAGAGGCAGCAGUAGGGAAUCGUCCGCAAUAGGCGAGAGCCUGACGGAGCAGCGCCAAGUGAGUGAUGAAGGUCUUCGGAUCGUAAAGCUCUGUUAUUAGGGAAGAACAAAUUUGUAAGUAGCUAUGCCCGUCUUGACGGUACCUAAUCAGAAAGCCACGGCUAACUACGUG